AGCCAGGACCGCAAGGCAGAGCUGCACUGUAGCUGCUACUGUUGGCUGCAGCCCCACAGCUAGCCCUUCAAACACUGAGUGAAAGGACAGUGAGAGCAAGAGGACAAGGGCUCGCAGGGGACUCUUUGAGGGUGAGGGGCUUCAGCAGUCAUGUGCAUGAACCCUGCUCCCAGGAAAACACCAGCAGAAAUACAGCCCAGGAGUCUGAGGACCCGCCGAUGGUGACCUAAUAAAAAGCAGAAGUUACAACCCACCUGGCACUGAGAAGACAGACAAAGAUGAGCUUAUACAUUCAUCAUUAGAGUGAAGACCUUGCGGAGUUCUGGCCUGUCACAAUAGGAUGUUUGCUCCCUGCUGCAAUAUCCCCAGGUACAUACCCAGCUGAAGGGGAUGGGAUGGUACGCCUGUGAGAUGCUACAGGCCAGGGGCUUAGAGGUUGUCAACUGGGGACAAGGGAGUUCAUGGGGACACUGUGAACACAGAAAAAAAUGAGGUAAGACAAAAGAGCCAUCAAUCACAAAACUUAAAAACUAAGAAUGACAGAGUCAAAAGGUGCCAGGGAGAAGGAAGGACAGGAGCAGAGGGUAGGAAGAGCCAGGGGAAUCAUUAGGUAGAAAGUGGAUAGGAACACAAAGUAGUGGAGAGUGGCGGGACAGAUAGAAGUAAUACUCACUGGGGCAAAGACAAAACCAGGUCGAGGGUCCAAAGGUGACUUCUCAUUUCCCUGAAAUCAAAGGAAAUAAAAGAAAUAAAGCUGGGCCAGGGGUCUAUUUUCAUAACUCAAUCUC
Callithrix jacchus (white-tufted-ear marmoset) is the source of this 788-nucleotide long non-coding RNA. RefSeq lists it as uncharacterized. Lineage: Eukaryota; Metazoa; Chordata; Mammalia; Primates; Cebidae. The record is from RefSeq and is a predicted model, not a curated record.